RNAcentral lists this unclassified non-coding RNA (93 nucleotides) under Amphiamblys sp. WSBS2011. RNAcentral's name for it is "partial external transcribed spacer". The record is from RNAcentral. Lineage: Eukaryota; Fungi; Microsporidia; Amphiacanthidae.
UGUAUGGAGGGACAGUUGCACACAGGCCGAGCAAGAGCUGGCCACGGGCACACGGAGGGGAGGGGAUUUAACAAACAGGAAAAGACAUGCAGC